CCUACGGGUGGCAGCAGUGGGGAAUAUUGGACAAUGGGGGCAACCCUGAUCCAGCCAUGCCGCGUGUGUGAAGAAGGCCCUCGGGUUGUAAAGCACUUUCAGUGAGGAAGAACGCCUGGUGGUUAAUACCCAUCAGGAAAGACAUCACUCACAGAAGAAGCACCGGCUAACUCCGUGCCAGCAGCCGCGGUAAUACGGAGGGUGCAAGCGUUAAUCGGAAUUACUGGGCGUAAAGCGCGCGUAGGUGGCUUGAUAAGCCGGUUGUGAAAGCCCCGGGCUCAACCUGGGAACGGCAUCCGGAACUGUCAAGCUAGAGUGCAGGAGAGGAAGGUAGAAUUCCCGGUGUAGCGGUGAAAUGCGUAGAGAUCGGGAGGAAUACCAGUGGCGAAGGCGGCCUUCUGGACUGACACUGACACUGAGGUGCGAAAGCGUGGGUAGCAAACAGGAUUAGAUACCCGAGUAGUC
This 465-nucleotide ribosomal RNA is filed under the name Vreelandella stevensii. RNAcentral's name for it is "partial 16S ribosomal RNA". It matches the Rfam family "Bacterial small subunit ribosomal RNA", at positions 338 to 795 of the family's 1533-position model. Lineage: Bacteria; Pseudomonadati; Pseudomonadota; Gammaproteobacteria; Oceanospirillales; Halomonadaceae. The record is from RNAcentral.